UCUUCCGUAGUAUAGUGGUUAGUAUAUGAGCUUGUCAUUCUGGGUUUCCGAAUCCUCGACAUCGCUCGGGACCCGGGUUCAAUUCCCGGCGGGAGAG
This 97-nucleotide transfer RNA is filed under the name Coniochaeta ligniaria NRRL 30616. It matches the Rfam family "tRNA". Rfam says of the family: Transfer RNA (tRNA) molecules are approximately 80 nucleotides in length. Their secondary structure includes four short double-helical elements and three loops (D, anti-codon, and T loops). Further hydrogen bonds mediate the characteristic L-shaped molecular structure. tRNAs have two regions of fundamental functional importance: the anti-codon, which is responsible for specific mRNA codon recognition, and the 3' end, to which the tRNAs corresponding amino acid is attached (by aminoacyl-tRNA synthetases). tRNAs cope with the degeneracy of the genetic code in two manners: having more than one tRNA (with a specific anti-codon) for a particular amino acid; and 'wobble' base-pairing, i.e. permitting non-standard base-pairing at the 3rd anti-codon position. Lineage: Eukaryota; Fungi; Ascomycota; Sordariomycetes; Coniochaetales; Coniochaetaceae. The record is from Rfam by way of RNAcentral.